UACGUAGGGAGCAAGCGUUAUCCGGAUUUACUGGGUGUAAAGGGCGCGUAGGCGGGAUGGCAAGUCAGAUGUGAAAUCCAGGGGCUCAACCCCUGAACUGCAUUUGAAACUGUCGUUCUUGAGUACUGGAGAGGUUGACGGAAUUCCUAGUGUAGCGGUGAAAUGCGUAGAUAUUAGGAGGAACACCAGUGGCGAAGGCGGUCAACUGGACAGCAAUUGACGCUGAGGCGCGAAAGCGUGGGGAGCAAACAGG
RNAcentral lists this ribosomal RNA (253 nucleotides) under uncultured bacterium. Its description in RNAcentral is "partial 16S ribosomal RNA". It matches the Rfam family "Bacterial small subunit ribosomal RNA", at positions 524 to 776 of the family's 1533-position model. The record is from RNAcentral.